This is a non-coding RNA of Heterocephalus glaber (naked mole-rat), 1150 nucleotides long. The record is from RefSeq and is a predicted model, not a curated record. Lineage: Eukaryota; Metazoa; Chordata; Mammalia; Rodentia; Bathyergidae.
ACUUGUGGAGCGGUGCAUGCAGGAAGGAAAGGCUGCCCUAGAGGCAACACCUGUUUGAAAUGUCCCUGUUAUCUCUGUUUUAACCUGUUCUUCAGCUCAUCUUUCCUGCCUCUCCUGGCUUCUUUAUCUCUCCAGGAGAAAGCUCUGCCUUUCUCUUGAAUUCCCCAUGUAACUCACUGUUCUGUAACCUUGCGCUUAAUUGUCUGUCUCUUCCAGUAGACGGCGAGGGGUUUAAGGACCAGGUCUCCAGAGUGCGGCCCCUGGCAGGAUAAUGAAUGAUGAGUAAACGCACGAGUGAGUGAACCAUGUGGUGGAGCCAGACGCCAUCUUGAAAAACAUAGAUGAGAGUGGUCUCCCAAGAAGCCCUUCUGAUGACCAGCGAGCUAGAACCUGAGAAAUGAGGUCAAUGACCAAACAAAGACACGGCACUGGGUAUUUCCCUGCUAGAAUGUGUGGAAAUAUAUAAUAACACCAAACCCCAAUGAUGGAAAACAAGCUGUGAGUGGAAGUGGAGGCAUUUGAUGGCCCAGCUGAGAACAAAUGGAAGCUAGGCAUAGCCGUGCACACCUGUAAUUCCAGCACUCAGGAGGCUGAACCAGAGGACUGCAGCAAGUUCAAGGCCAGCUUGAGUUACACAGCGAGUUCAAGACCAGCCUGAACUACAUAAGGAGACCCUGUCUAAAAAAAGGGACAUGAUGGAAAAUGUUAUCAUUUGUGCUUCUGAAUUGAUUUAUUCUGAACUUUUUUAUGGACUGGCAAACUCAUAUUAAUUUUUUUUUGAUACUGGGGAUUGAACUUGGGACCUUGUGCUUGCAAGGCAGGCGACAGAAACACUGAGCUAAAUUUUGUUAUAAGGGCCCUAGCUGUUUCUUUUCUUCCUUCUGUAGAAGCAGAUGUGGUCUAUUACUGGACUAUAUGCUCAGCUUUUUUAUUUUUUAUUUUGAGACAGGGUCUUGCUAGGCUGGGCUCGAACUACUGGUGUGUGCUACCCAGCCUGGCUUGUUUCUUUUUUUGGUCCCGGGGAUUGAACUCAGGACCUUGCAUUUGCGAGGCAGGAGGUGGAACCACUGAGCUAAAUCCGCAGCCUGGCUUGUUUCUUAACAAGUGCAACAAAAACAGUUUUCUUUUUUAUUAUAUCAAAUCCCCCAGA